CAUAUCAUUUGCAAAAGUAGACAACCAAGGGUAUUCAAUAUGGGGUAUGUCCAAACUUUAUUAGUAUACACUUAGUCAGAAACACUGACCAAAGUUAGCACUUAUAUUUGUUUGUGUGUUAAAAAUGAAAAAAACUAUUAUGAAUGCUACAUUUUUGACCAGUGUUUGUGACUAAGUGGCUACUAAAAAAGACUGAACAUAUACCCCAUUUGCAAUACCUUGGGUUGUCUUCUUUUGCAAAUGGUAUG
Pelobates cultripes (western spadefoot toad) is the source of this 248-nucleotide non-coding RNA. Lineage: Eukaryota; Metazoa; Chordata; Amphibia; Anura; Pelobatidae. The record is from the annotation of a GenBank genome assembly.